UGUGGACUGUGGGAUCUUCAUGCUGAUGUAUGCUCUGCACAUGGUCUUUGAGGCACCCUUUGAUUUUACAGCUUCGGAUUUUCCUCUUAUUCGAAAAUGGUGGUGCCUUAUUCUCAUGGAGAAUUUUGCCAUUGAAAGGUAACUCUCUUGCUUUCUCAAGUUUUUCUCUGUCUAUAAAUUUACUUAAAAAUGUAUUUGUCACAGGAAACAUGCUGC
Molecule: long non-coding RNA, 216 nt
Organism: Carassius gibelio (silver crucian carp)
Lineage: Eukaryota; Metazoa; Chordata; Actinopteri; Cypriniformes; Cyprinidae
Exons: 3
Source: RefSeq, a predicted model, not a curated record